UACUAUCUGUGUUUCAGCAUAUGUCAUGGUAUGACUGCAAGUUGUUCCCAGCAGGUUUUCCAAUCUGCAGACAAGCUAUGGGAGGGAUGGUUGGAGUGAAGAGUUCCCCAAAAGCUUGCCAACAGAAUGGAUUGUUUAGGUGGUAGUGGGCUAUUUGCACGGGUUUAA
This 168-nucleotide ribosomal RNA is filed under the name Triticum aestivum (bread wheat). Its description in RNAcentral is "partial small subunit ribosomal RNA". The record is from RNAcentral. Lineage: Eukaryota; Viridiplantae; Streptophyta; Magnoliopsida; Poales; Poaceae.